This 3017-nucleotide ribosomal RNA is filed under the name Brenneria goodwinii. Its description in RNAcentral is "LSU rRNA". It matches the Rfam family "Bacterial large subunit ribosomal RNA". The record is from RNAcentral. Lineage: Bacteria; Pseudomonadati; Pseudomonadota; Gammaproteobacteria; Enterobacterales; Pectobacteriaceae.
GGUUAAGCGACUAAGCGUACACGGUGGAUGCCUAGGCAGUCAGAGGCGAUGAAGGGCGUGCUAAUCUGCGAAAAGCGUCGGUAAGGUGAUAUGAACCGUUACACCCGACGAUACCCGAAUGGGGAAACCCAGUGUGUUUCGACACAUUAUCAUCACAUGAAUACAUAGUGUGAUGAGGCGAACCGGGGGAACUGAAACAUCUCAGUACCCCGAGGAAAAGAAAUCAACCGAGAUUCCCCCAGUAGCGGCGAGCGAACGGGGAGGAGCCCAGAGUCUGCAUCAGCUUGUGUGUCAGUGGAAGCGUCUGGAAAGUCGCACAACAAAGGGUGAGAGUCCCGUACACGAAGAUGCACAGGUUGUGAGCUCGAUGAGUAGGGCGGGACACGAGAUAUCCUGUCUGAAGAUGGGGGGACCAUCCUCCAAGGCUAAAUACUCCUGACUGACCGAUAGUGAACCAGUACCGUGAGGGAAAGGCGAAAAGAACCCCGGCGAGGGGAGUGAAAUAGAACCUGAAACCGUGUACGUACAAGCAGUGGGAGCCUUGAUUAAUCAGGGUGACUGCGUACCUUUUGUAUAAUGGGUCAGCGACUUAUAUUCUGUAGCAAGGUUAACCGAAUAGGGGAGCCGCAGGGAAACCGAGUCUUAACUGGGCGUUAAGUUGCAGGGUAUAGACCCGAAACCCGGUGAUCUAGCCAUGGGCAGGUUGAAGGUUGGGUAACACUAACUGGAGGACCGAACCGACUAAUGUUGAAAAAUUAGCGGAUGACUUGUGGCUGGGGGUGAAAGGCCAAUCAAACCGGGAGAUAGCUGGUUCUCCCCGAAAGCUAUUUAGGUAGCGCCUCGUGAAUUCAUCUUCGGGGGUAGAGCACUGUUUCGACUAGGGGGUCAUCCCGACUUACCAACUCGAUGCAAACUGCGAAUACCGAAGAAUGUUAUCACGGGAGACACACGGCGGGUGCUAACGUCCGUCGUGAAGAGGGAAACAACCCAGACCGCCAGCUAAGGUCCCAAAGUCAUGGUUAAGUGGGAAACGAUGUGGGAAGGCCCAGACAGCCAGGAUGUUGGCUUAGAAGCAGCCAUCAUUUAAAGAAAGCGUAAUAGCUCACUGGUCGAGUCGGCCUGCGCGGAAGAUGUAACGGGGCUAAACCAUGCACCGAAGCUGCGGCAGCGAACGUAUCACCCAAGACAAUUUGGCGAUGUGGAAUGACGAUUGAUGGCGCGAAGCGACAUCAAUGCGUUUUACAAAGUCGAGUUGGUUUAGGGAUACGUUCGUUGGGUAGGGGAGCGUUCUGUAAGCCGUUGAAGGUGGCCUGUGAGGGUUGCUGGAGGUAUCAGAAGUGCGAAUGCUGACAUAAGUAACGAUAAUGCGGGUGAAAAACCCGCACGCCGGAAGACCAAGGGUUCCUGUCCAACGUUAAUCGGGGCAGGGUGAGUCGACCCCUAAGGCGAGGCCGAAAGGCGUAGUCGAUGGGAAACGGGUUAAUAUUCCCGUACUGGUUGUUACUGCGAAGGGGGGACGGAGAAAGCUAGGUUGGCCGGGCGACGGUUGUCCCGGUUUAAGCGUGCAGGUGGGUGUUUUUGGUAAAUCCGGAACACCGUUAACACUGAGGCGUGAUGACGAGUCACUAUGGUGAUGAAGUAACCGAUGCUACGCUUCCAGGAAAAGCCUCUAAGCUCUAGGUAACAAUCAAUCGUACCCCAAACCGACACAGGUGGUCAGGUAGAGAAUACUCAGGCGCUUGAGAGAACUCGGGUGAAGGAACUAGGCAAAAUGGUGCCGUAACUUCGGGAGAAGGCACGCUGGAUUUGGUGAAGUCCCUUGCGGAUGGAGCUGAGACCAGUCGCAGAUACCAGCUGGCUGCAACUGUUUAAUAAAAACACAGCACUGUGCAAACACGAAAGUGGACGUAUACGGUGUGACGCCUGCCCGGUGCCGGAAGGUUAAUUGAUGGGGUAAGCUUUCGGGCGAAGCUCUUGAUCGAAGCCCCGGUAAACGGCGGCCGUAACUAUAACGGUCCUAAGGUAGCGAAAUUCCUUGUCGGGUAAGUUCCGACCUGCACGAAUGGCGUAAUGAUGGCCAGGCUGUCUCCACCCGAGACUCAGUGAAAUUGAACUCGCUGUGAAGAUGCAGUGUACCCGCGGCAAGACGGAAAGACCCCGUGAACCUUUACUAUAGCUUGACACUGAACCUUGAGCCUUGAUGUGUAGGAUAGGUGGGAGGCUUUGAAGCGUGGACGCCAGUCUGCGUGGAGCCAACCUUGAAAUACCACCCUUUAAUGUUUGAUGUUCUAACGUGGGCCCCUGAGCGGGGUUGCGGACAGUGUCUGGUGGGUAGUUUGACUGGGGCGGUCUCCUCCCAAAGAGUAACGGAGGAGCACGAAGGUUAGCUAAUCCUGGUCGGACAUCAGGAGGUUAGUGCAAAGGCAUAAGCUAGCUUGACUGCGAGAGUGACGGCUCGAGCAGGUGCGAAAGCAGGUCUUAGUGAUCCGGUGGUUCUGAAUGGAAGGGCCAUCGCUCAACGGAUAAAAGGUACUCCGGGGAUAACAGGCUGAUACCGCCCAAGAGUUCAUAUCGACGGCGGUGUUUGGCACCUCGAUGUCGGCUCAUCACAUCCUGGGGCUGAAGUAGGUCCCAAGGGUAUGGCUGUUCGCCAUUUAAAGUGGUACGCGAGCUGGGUUUAGAACGUCGUGAGACAGUUCGGUCCCUAUCUGCCGUGGGCGUUGGAAGAUUGAGAGGGGUUGCUCCUAGUACGAGAGGACCGGAGUGAACGCACCACUGGUGUACGGGUUGUGAUGCCAAUUGCAUUGCCCGGUAGCUAAGUGCGGAAGAGAUAACCGCUGAAAGCAUCUAAGCGGGAAACUUGCCUCGAGAUGAGUCUUCCCUGGGACUUUGAGUCCCCUAAAGGGCCGUUGAAGACGACGACGUAGAUAGGCCGGGUGUGUAAGCGCAGCGAUGCGUUGAGCUAACCGGUACUAAUGACCCGAGAGGCUUAACCUUACAACACCGAAGGUGUUUUG